AGAGUUUGAUCCUGGCUCAGAUUGAACGCUGGCGGCAUGCCUAACACAUGCAAGUCGAACGGAAACGAUGGGAGCUUGCUCCCAGGCGUCGAGUGGCGGACGGGUGAGUAAUACUUAGGAAUCUGCCCAGUAGUGGGGGACAACUCGAGGAAACUCGAGCUAAUACCGCAUACGCCCCAAGGGGGAAAGCGGAGGAUCUUUCGGGACUUCGCGCUAUUGGAUGAGCCUAAGUCGGAUUAGCUUGUUGGUGAGGUAAAAGCUCACCAAGGCGACGAUCCGUAGCUGGUCUGAGAGGACGAUCAGCCACACUGGGACUGAGACACGGCCCAGACUCCUACGGGAGGCAGCAGUGGGGAAUAUUGGACAAUGGGGGAAACCCUGAUCCAGCAAUGCCGCGUGUGUGAAGAAGGCCUGCGGGUUGUAAAGCACUUUCAGUAGAGAAGAAAAGCCUGGGGUUAAUACCCCUGGGUCUUGACGUUACCUACAGAAGAAGCUCCGGCUAACUCCGUGCCAGCAGCCGCGGUAAUACGGAGGGAGCGAGCGUUAAUCGGAAUUACUGGGCGUAAAGCGCGCGUAGGCGGCUUUGUAAGUCGGAUGUGAAAGCCCUGGGCUCAACCUGGGAAUGGCAUUCGAUACUGCAUAACUAGAGUAUGGUAGAGGGAAGUGGAAUUUCCCGGUGUAGCGGUGAAAUGCGUAGAU
RNAcentral lists this ribosomal RNA (699 nucleotides) under uncultured bacterium. Its description in RNAcentral is "bacterial SSU rRNA". It matches the Rfam family "Bacterial small subunit ribosomal RNA", at positions 8 to 695 of the family's 1533-position model. The record is from RNAcentral.